UUACCUGAACUAUAUAUAAAUCAUUUUAAAUUAGCUUCGUAAUCUUUUAUAGCUUUAAUUUUACUAUCCAAUCUUUCAAUUCAUUUAAUUUGAUUUAGUUAACAGCAUUUCGAUUUCAAAAUUUAAAUUAAUCACUUACUUUAAUAAAUUUAUAGUUGUAAAAAUUAUAUGAAAUAUAUUAACUAAAUCUACGAAGAUAAAAACAUAUCCAAGUUUUAAAGUCAAAAUAGUAGUCAUUGACUAACUCAAAUCAAAUAAAUUAAAAAAUUUAAAAAUAAAAUUAAAAUUUUGCAUGGUUGGAUAGUGAAUUCAAAAUAAUCCAUAGUGCAGAUAAUUUCGGUAUAUUUUUAUUAUCUAUUACAUUUUGU
Molecule: long non-coding RNA, 368 nt
Filed under: Ananas comosus (pineapple)
Lineage: Eukaryota; Viridiplantae; Streptophyta; Magnoliopsida; Poales; Bromeliaceae
Description: long non-coding RNA (ACOM_LNC042131)
Source: RNAcentral